AGCCCUUCUGUCAUCUUCUUGCACAUCACAGUUCAUCUUACCAAUUGGAAAAGACCCAGUAACCAAUCUCUUCUACACUUCAAUCGGCAUAGGAACACCUCGACACAACUUUGAUGUAUUGAUUGAUCUUGGAGAAUCAAUGCUAUGGUAUGAAUGCAACAAUAACUACACUUCUUCAACCUUCAAUCCUCUCCCUUGUCAAUCCAAACUUUGCCCUUGGAAAAACCAAUGCACUGAAUGCAACGCCCCUUUGAGAUCACCAGGUUGCUCCAACAACACAUGUGAUACUCCCAUAAGCAAUCCAUUCGGUGUUUUACUGUUCUCGGGUGAAACUGGUGAUGAUGUUUUGUUCAUAUCAAACUCAAAAGUCUCUGGACUAUUUUCUGGUUGCACUGACUCAGAUUAUUAUCAUCUUGAUUUUCCUAUAAGUAAAGCCUUUCCUAAAGCUAGAGGAAAUUUAGGCCUUGGAAGGACACAGUUUGCAUUACCAACACAGUUAUCAUUAUCUUCUCAUAAACUUCAUUUGUCAUAUUGUUAAUUUCUAAAUCAUAUUGAAAGGUAAUGUGUUUAUUGACAAGUUGGUGAAAUAAAUAUUUCACAUAAGUAAUAAUAAACUCAAGUGAACAUAUCACAAUGGUUACUAGUUAUAACCAUGGUAAAAUAUAGUACGCUAAGUCUUUCACUAAGAUGGUAACAUUCAACCGUGGUAAAGUGUUGAAAAAUCUCUCAAAAUUCGGGCAAUGGGUAUCAAACCCCUGACCUCUAUUAGUGCGUGAGACACUUUGAGUGACAGAAGAAAUGAGAAAGAGAAUAAAAAGUAAUUGAUGAAUUGUUAUUAUUGAAAGUUAUAUAAAACUAAAUUACAAUUAUUUGUAUAUAUAAAACUAUGUUACUUAUAUACUAAGUAACUAACAUAACAAAUCAUAACCCUAACUAACUUGGGCUUGAACUCUAACUUGAUUUGCAUCACAACAUACUCCCUUAUAAUCCAAGUAGCCGAACACAAACUAAUCAUAGGCGAUCUGAACCAUUCCUAAUUUUUUUCUCAAAGUUAAGAAUCUGUCUAUCUUCAGCCCUUUGAUGAAAAUGUCAGCCAAAUGUGCUUCACUCGAGCAAUGCCUAACUUCAAGUUCACCCUGGUUUACCUUUUCCCUUAGGAAAUGAAACCUAUUCGCAAUGUUCCUACUCCUUUCAUGCAGAACUGGAUUCUUUCCAAGAUUAAUGGCUGACUUGUUAUUGAUCUGCAACAUCAGAGGUUUCUUCACUUUGACCUCCAUCUCUUCCAACACAUAUUUAAUCCAAAUUUCUUGACAAGCAACAUAGUAUCCUAUUAUAUAUUCAGCCUCACAUGAUGAUAAUUCCUCCAUAGGUUGCUUUCUUGAGCACCAUGAGAUUGGGACACCAAAUACUUGAAAGACACAAGGCAAUAUUAGUAGAAAGAUUGGAGAUUGUCUAUUUCCUCCAAUGGUAUGAUCUUCAAAUGGGCCACAUACAUCUGAAUGUACUAAUUCUAGUAUGCAAGAGGACCUCAUUGGCAUAGUCGAAACGAAAGACUUUAUGGAUUGAAUAUAAUACGUAAUACUUGACAAUUUGACGACUUUAACCUUCGCAACAUCUACAAUUUGACAACUUUAACCUUCCCACCCCCUUCGUAAUACUUGACAAUAAUAUCCCAUGCCUCAUUCGUCGAUUCGACAUGAGAAAUCCAAUCAAAGUUCACCAUAUCAACUGUAGAUUGAAUACAAUACACAACCUUGCAAUCUUUCUUCUUCAAAUCCUUGUGAUUGGCUCUCUGAGCAUCGAUUACAUUGUCAGCAAGCUCAGGGAUGCCAUUGUUGGCCACUUCUAGGGUUUUAUAAAAAUCGAAUAAAGACUUCAUCUACUUACUCCAUCGGUUCCAAUUUUUGCUGUCAAGAAUUGGAAGAGAAUUCAGAAUGUCAUUGGUACCGUUCAUCUCUAUAAUAACCGCGAUUCAUGAUCCCUAGAAGCAUGACCAUCAAAAUGAAUUUCUUGAAAACACGAUCAAGAGUGGGAACCAUAAGCUCUAGAUACCGAUUUGUUAGUGCAUGAGUCACUUUAAGUGAGAGAAGGAAUGAGAAAGAGAAUGAAAAGUAAUUGAUGAAUUGUUAUUAUUAAAAGCUAUAUAAAACUAAAUUACAAUUAUGUGUAUAUAUACAACUACGCUACUUGUAUACUAAGUAACUAACAUAACAAACCUUAACCCUAACAAACUUGGGCUCAGGCUACAACUUGGAUUAUAUCAUAACAACCUCCAUGUUUUACUACAAUUGGUUUUUACAAUCAUAGUGAUAUGUACGCGGUAUUGGGUUCUUACUACGGUUAUCAGCUCGUAGUGGUAAGGCUGACAGAUACUACCACACCCUAUUAUGUUACCAUGCUUGGUGAACCGUGAUAGUAUUAUUUUUUAACCGUGGUGGAAAAACCUUUUCGUAAUAGUGAAAUCAGAUUCACACAAUUAAUCGAAAUGGAAAAAUUAUCCCAAAGUCACGUGACUUACCCACUUCAAACUCACUUGACUCGUUCCCUAAUUUUAUCGGGGAAUUUAUUCAUGCAUCCUAUAUAUUAUUUAGACACCACAUGAAAAUACUAAAAUUCCCCCAGAUUCUGGAGAUGUCAUCUCCAACGCAUCCAACUCUGAGUUAACGUUAAAAAAUAUUUCGGAGAUGCAUCUUCAAAUUUAUUCAAGAGAUGCAUCUCUGAAGGUAUUAAAGCUUAAAUCGUGCAAGAACCUUCUCUCCUCAUUUUGAAAAAUCUCAAAACCUCUUCAAACUCUCUCAAUUUAUUUAUCACCAAAUCCAAAAUCAAACAACUAAGCUCAAAGGAUCUUCAAUCACCAUUAAAUCAUCCAACCUAGAAAAAAAAGCAAAAGUGAAUUGUAAUGUUUUUUGAUGUUUUGAUAAGUUUUUUGAGUUUUUGUGUAAAUGAGAUGAAAAUGAUGAUUUAGGUAUCAAAUGAGUAGGAAAUGUAAGAAUGUUAGUUUAUAAAUGUUGUAAAACAUGUUUGUUUUUUUAAAUCAUGAUCAAACCGUUUAUUUUAAGGUUUGCAUUUCUGCAUUGCCGCCAUUGCUGAACUAGAGAGUUGCAAAAAAUUAUGGAGAUGCAUCUCCGAAAAUUUUCAACGUUUAGUUUCCAUGUAAUCGGAGAUGCAUCUCCGGAAAUUCUCAGUCUAUUUUUUUGCUUUUCUUGUUUGUAGUGUUGCUUGCUUGCACUAAUUGUUUGGUUUAAUUUAACUUACAUGCAAUUUGGCUUAUAAACACGAUAGCUUGAGGCACAAGAGGAUUGCACAACAGAGAUCAAUGUGAUGGGAGAAGAGUCUGAUUCUAGAGGUUUCUGUUCAAUCUUUCCAUGCAGAGACAUCUACUUCUAGGGCUCAUGCUUCUCCAUCUUUUUCUUCCCGUAGGAGACAGGUUUCACCAACUGACACAUCACUCCUUUCAGCCUCCCGCAAGCACCAGGUUUCACCUAUUCAGGCGCCAGAAGUACCCGAGUCACCGGUGGUAUCGGAGGCACCAGUGCCACCUCCAAUGGAUGAUGCUUCUGAACUAGUACCACUGACUGAUAUUGAUGUUGUCGAACCAGUGUCAACUUCGGAUGGUGAGGCUACUGAGCAUGUUGAGUCAGAGCCAUUUGGAGAAGGCCAUGUAGAGUUGUCAUUACUGCCUCUGUAUCCAUACUAUAUUGCGAGACAUAUUUGGGACAGAGAGGUAGCAUUAGUUGGAUUCAUUCUUUUUAAUUUAUAUUUAUUAAUAUAUUACAAGUUUAUUAACCACAUGCGAAAGAUUACUCGCUUGCCUCAGCCUAAUAAGGAGUGUUUCAAGCAGCUUUGUCCCGAUCUGGGAUGAAAAACUUGUGCAUUAUCGGUUAUAUUACAAUCAACCACGAGAUGAUUAAUGCAUUCGUGGAGAGAUGACACUCUGAGACCUCGUCAUUUCAUCUCCCGUUAGGUGAGAUGUCUAUCACACUCAACGAUGUGUCGUGUUUUCCGCAUCUUCCGAUCAGGGAGAAACUUUUAGAUCAUGGCAGGAGAUGGAUAGAACCAUAUGGGCUUAUGCUAGCUUUGAAUUCCUGAAAAAGUUAUGUACAUAUGAGCUCGAUGGAGCAGGGUAGGCUAGAGGUGAUGAAGAGCAUGUGGGGAUCUGUAGAGCGCAUGUUAUGAGAGUAUACCUGUUAUAUUUAGUUGGCACUGUGAUUUUUAUGGACAAGAGUCCCACUUAUACAGAGGGUUGUAGGUGGAAAAUGAAGCAAAUCACAAGUAACAUCACACUACUGGCGGUAAUAUUUAUUGGUCUUUUAAUGUUUUUAUUUCCUUUUCAUUUCAUCUUUACAAAUCCAUUACUGAUGAUUCGUAUGUUCCAAACUUUUUAGGCUUGAAUUCUUCAACAUUUCCUAAGCAUCUCCGGUUGGGCGAGUGUACCAACUUACAUUCAGGAUAUGUUAUAUGCUAUUAUAUUUUCCCUACUUAGAGGGAACCAGACGAUAGAUUCGUUCAGAGUGUAUCUUGACCGCUUUAUUUCUGAGGACAUGCACUUCAAUAGUUAUGACGAUCACGUUAAGACGCGACCAUUUUACGAGAUACUGUUAUACAAGGUGGCUUGCGGAUCACGUAUCACUUAUUCUCAUCUUGUCGAGCGCGUGAUACGGCAGUUCGGCUACACUCAGACCAAUCCCAGACACCAUGUUGUCUCUGCUCCUCCUACUUUGACACGUAGACAAAUGAAUGUCAUGUUUGAUGAUAAUGAGAGAGGCACGAAGUACCAUAGCUCAGAGUGACUAGAGCUACAUCGACGAAUACAUCAGAUGGUUCUUCAGGGUGUCACAUCUGUAUAUGGUGCAAGAUGCUCUAAGAGAUCCACCAAGGUCAGCUCAUCAAGAGAUACUGGAGGAGGAGCAGGAACAGUUAGAUCAUGUUGAGAAUAUCUUUCCUAGAUGUCAUCAUAUAAUGGAGAUUACGCAGGUAGACAUUGACAUAGGUAUCUUCCCGAUGGGUCUAAUGUGAGAAAGGUCAUAUAUGCCAUCUUAACGGAGGCAAGGGGGACAUUGAUGUACUUGAGACAGCGCUAGAGGACGGAGGGAUUGAUGGCCGAGGAGGCAGAGGAGUCAGAAGAGACAGAGGAGAUGUAGUCUGACAUAUAUAGUAGUGCAGUAGUAUAUAAUAGUUCUACUAUGGAUUCAUCGUGGAUUGUAUUUUAUUUUCAUCUCAUGUCACUUUAUUGUGUAUUUAAACUUUAUUUAUAUAUGACAUUUUUGGACCAUCUGGAUUUAUAUACGUUAUUUUUUUCAUAUCGAUUGUAUGGUUUGAAUCUCGUUACAUAACAUGAUACAUAACGUUUAUAAAUCUUCAUCUGAAUAAACAAAACAUAACAUGCACUGUUCUGGUAUAUUACGGAGAUGCAUCUCCGUAAAAUAACCGGUGAUGCAUCUCUGGUACAAUAUGUCUGUCAAAUGCCUUUCAAAAUUAAUGCGUGAUAUAUGACUUUUAAAAUAUUAUGAAGAUGUAUUUCUGAUUCAUUUAACGUUCUUUGAUGCGUGCGAAAAUAUAUCUCUAAAAUCUAAAAAUAUUUAAAUAUUUUUACGUGGUAUACUAAUAAAAGUACUAUAAGAUAUAUAAUACAUUAAGAAAUUUAGUCAAAUAUUACUAAAGGAUAUAUAAUACAUUAAGAAAUUUAGUCAAAUAUUACUAAAGGUUAUUUAUAGGAUGGGCUACCAAUGUGGAUGUUAUCCAUCUGUAUAAGCAACACCGACAAACAAUUAUGAGUCUAGCGGACAAUAUAAAAUUAUAUCCAUAUGAAAGUCAUAAUUAAAGAUUCACAUAUUUAAAUUGUACUAAAAAGCAUUUUCAUCACUGUCAUCAUAACUACGAAUUGUCCUUAAAUAAUGUUAAAAGAGGAACAUAUUGAUAAAGAGAACCUAAUUUCAAGAAAAGCUUACCAAGUAUGACUAAACGUGAUGAAAAUAAGGAUCGAAAAGUACUUACAUUUUCUUCAUACACAUUUAUUUCUAUAUAAAGUAAUCCCUCACAUGCAUCAAACACUCAUCAAUUAACAAUGGCUUCUUUUGCUACUCUUCUCUCUCUUCUCACAAUAGCCCUUCUGUCAUCUUCUUGCACAUCACAGUUCAUCUUACCAAUUGGAAAAGACCCAGUAACCAGUCUCUUCUACACCUCAAUCGGCAUAGGAACACCUCGACACAACUUUGAUGUAUUGAUUGAUCUUGGAGAAUCAAUGCUAUGGUAUGAAUGCAACAAUAACUACACUUCUUCAACCUUCAAUCCUCUCCCUUGUCAAUCCAAACUUUGCCCUUGGAAAAACCAAUGCACUGAAUGCAACGCCCCUUUGAGAUCACCAGGUUGCUCCAACA
Molecule: long non-coding RNA, 6377 nt
Filed under: Lathyrus oleraceus (garden pea)
Lineage: Eukaryota; Viridiplantae; Streptophyta; Magnoliopsida; Fabales; Fabaceae
Description: Pisum sativum (pea) long non-coding RNA (PSAT_LNC032768)
Source: RNAcentral